AAAAAAAAAAAAGAAAUUGAAGGGAGAGAGAAAGGAAACCAACCCAACGCACAAUGGGAAAAAAGAAGAAGCUCUAAGGGCAAAAGGGUCUGCCCAAACGAGUCCUAUGGCUAGGAAUAGUGAAGUGUCUUAUCCUCCCUUCUUGCUCCGUCAAGUACCCUUCACAGAGAAAAGCUUUAGAAAACUUAUCUUCCACCGCUCUAUCCACAUCAUGGACAAACACAUCGGUCUCUCCGUUCUCUCUGUUCCUCGCCAUCAACCCCGCCGUGUAAAUCGCCGUCAUUCUCCCCGGCGCCUCGUCGUGAUACCCAGUUGGCGCAUCCACCAUGAUCAAGUCCCAUUCUAUAUCAUACACAUCGCUAGGGAACCCCUUGAGUGAAAGUUGACACUUUGAGAAUCUUGGAUCACUCACAACUUUGCAAUCUUCCGCCUGUCCUGUCUCCAUCAACCCAUCUGCUUGAUGCACUUUGGUGUCGUAGCUCACAUGGUAGGAUUCUAAACUGGGUAUUUUCUCCUUGAUCUGCUCGAUCCAGGAC
This 536-nucleotide unclassified non-coding RNA is filed under the name Hevea brasiliensis (rubber tree). Lineage: Eukaryota; Viridiplantae; Streptophyta; Magnoliopsida; Malpighiales; Euphorbiaceae. The record is from RNAcentral.